Molecule: ribosomal RNA, 505 nt
Filed under: uncultured bacterium
Lineage: Bacteria
Description: partial 16S ribosomal RNA
Rfam family: Bacterial small subunit ribosomal RNA
Source: RNAcentral
AGUGAACGCUGGCGGUAGGCCUAACACAUGCAAGUCGAACGGCAGCACAGGAGAGCUUGCUCUCUGGGUGGCGAGUGGCGGACGGGUGAGGAAUACAUCGGAAUCUACUCUGUCGUGGGGGAUAACGUAGGGAAACUUACGCUAAUAUCGCAUACGACCUACGGGUGAAAGCAGGGGACCUUCGGGCCUUGCGCGAUUGAAUGAGCCGAUGUCGGAUUAGCUAGUUGGCGGGGUAAAGGCCCACCAAGGCGACGAUCCGUAGCUGGUCUGAGAGGAUGAUCAGCCACACUGGAACUGAGACACGGUCCAGACUCCUACGGGAGGCAGCAGUGGGGAAUAUUGGACAAUGGGCGCAAGCCUGAUCCAGCCAUACCGCGUGGUGAAGAAGGCCUUCGGGUUGUAAAGCCCUUUUGUUGGGAAAGAAAUCCAUCUGGUUAAUACCCGGGUGGGAUGACGGUACCCAAAGAAUAAGCACCGGCUAACUUCGUGCCAGCCGCCGCAGUAA